Eriocheir sinensis (Chinese mitten crab) is the source of this 2131-nucleotide long non-coding RNA. RefSeq lists it as uncharacterized. NCBI's taxonomy places the organism in Eukaryota, Metazoa, Arthropoda, Malacostraca, Decapoda, Varunidae. The transcript is spliced from 2 exons. The record is from RefSeq and is a predicted model, not a curated record.
CUAGAUUCUAAAGUACUGUCCAGGAAAAUGAUUAAGAGAGUACACGGAAGGACAAUCAAGAACUCUCACCCAGAUUCUAAAGUACUGUCCAGGAAAACGACCGACCAGAGAGUACGGAGGGUCACUUUGAUGCAUAACCACACUCAAUUAGUAAUAUAUAUAUGUCUGAAUGUAUAUGGAACUCCACUCAAUUAGUAAUAUAUUAUGUCUGAAUGUAUAUGGAGAUAGCUAAGUGAGUAGUAUUUAUUUGGCAAGCCUGUGAGUGUGAUUGUAGUAUAUAUGCAGUUUAGGUUAACAUCACAAUACCUCAGGAAAAUAUGUAGUUUGACGCAAGAUCUUGAAAACCAGCAACAAAGGGAUGUUAGUAUAGGGUAGCAAUGACUGUGUAUGUGUGUGUGUGUGUGUGUGUGUGUGUGUGUGUGAGUGAGUGAGUGAUUAAUUGUUUCUCUACUAAGCAAAGGUUUAUUAUAUAUUACGGAGUUACUUACGUGUUAUGCCAGACAGUAUUACAACGGAUAUGCACACGUAAUGACUGGUUGCUGUAAGUGAGGGCGUGUGUAGUGUCUCUCUGUCCAUUGUCACUGUUGCCAGAAAUGUGUUCAGCCUACCACUGCGUAAAACCAGAAAUAAAUUAGUGAAAAAUCAUCAAGAAGGUGAAAAUAAGUACAGAAAUACGUGAGUGUGGAGGCCAAGAGAAGGUGACAGGAAACAGACAGACCGGAACAAGACAGGAAAAACUGUAAUGAUAAAAGAAUGCUUAAUACAGACAAGGUAAUUUUAAGAAAGUAUUUUAAUAUCACCUAUGGACGGAAGUAAGUGAAUAACAGGAAGAGUGGGUAUAUAUAUAGGCAGAAGGGUUUACAGCAUUCCCACUACAAUCAUAUCUUUUAGGAAUGAAGAAUCUGGUGUUAAAAAUGUCUGUCAGUGGCUUUUUACUUGGUUUUGCUUACGAUUUGUCUCCAAUCACACACACACACACACACACACAAGGUGGUAUCAUUAACACUCCAUAAGCCUUGAGUUUUUAUUUCCUGCAAGCAAAUAGUGUAGAAUUUGGUGUUAAGAAUGUCUGUCAGUGGCUUUUUACUUGGUUUUGCUUAUGGUUUGUCCCCAAUCACACACACACAAGGUGAUAUCAUUAACACACUCCAUAAGCCUUGACUUUUUAUUUCCUGCAAGCAAAUAGUGUACACAGAUGGAUGACCAGAGGGGGCGGGCUGCUGGUGCUGCUGCUGCUGGUGGGGCUGUAAGACACUCGCCCCAGGACCAGCCCAAGCCCACCUCACAGCCACCUUACACACACACGGCUCAACCUUCCGUUCUCCAUACCAAGAUCAGUAUGGCUUGUGUAUCAUUAAAAAAAAUAGUCAAAAAAUAUAUCAAUAAGACUCCCUCUCAUAGUCCCAAGGUGAGAGUGUGUGUGGGGAGGCCCGGGCACGGCUGACACUGCUACAUGGAGCCCUUACCCUGCCCGAGACACCCAGCGACGCGAGUGGCAGCUGUGCCCACGCCCUGCCCACACGAGGAACUUGUAAACGUGAAAAACUUGACAAUAAUCAGUCCCGUGCUACACUCCAAUAAAAAAAGCUAAUUUGAUUACUUGACGGGUCGCACUACUACGCCAUUCACUACGUCUUGGCAGGUAAGCUCCGCCCCUUUUCCCCGCUAACUGUGUAUCAUGUCAGACCAGUCCACAAGCCAUGCAUCCUUAGCAACUUGCAUGUGAUCGGUGGAUGCUGGGGAAGGUUAUAUCAAAGGGGUGGCAUAGGUAGGGCUUAUAUGCCAAGGUUAGUGCAUGGGGCAUUGACGGGAGGGUGUGGUGCAUGACGCAGGCUACACCACCCGCUCUGGAGGCAAGCCAAUGACGGCCAUUCUAGGACUACGGACCACUCGAGUGAAGCUUAAGUUUUUCUCUUACCAUAAAAACAGACAUUUCAUCCUUCUGUAUAUAGAGUACACCUUGAUUACUGAUACUGAAGUGUCUGCCUGCUUGCACCGACACCUCCUUUGGUCUAAUAUGUACAGGAGCUACGAAGCUUGGCGGAGGGUCACCACUAUCAACUGGGGUGCCUCCUUGCGACGAGCCUCUCCUCUGGACUCGCCUAACCCGGCAGUAACGAAAUAAUAAAGG